UGGGGAAUUUUGGACAAUGGGGGCAACCCUGAUCCAGCGACGCCGCGUGAAGGAUGAAGGUCUUCGGAUUGUAAACUUCUUUUGGAGGGGAUGAAUGCCCUGGUGAAUAGCCAGGGGUGACAGUACUCUCGGAAUAAGCCACGGCUAACUACGUGCCAGCAGCCGCGGUAAUACGUAGGUGGCAAGCGAUACUCGGAAUCACUAGGCGUAAAGCGCAGGUAGGCGGUUCGGUAAGUCUUUUGUGAAAGCUCCCGGCUCAACUGGGAGAGGCCAAGGGAAACUACCGGACUAGAGUGUGGUAGGGGAUACUGGAAUUCCUGGUGUAGCGGUGAAAUGCGUAGAUAUCAGGAGGAAUACCUAUGGCGAAAGCAGGUAUCUGGGCCAUCACUGACGCUGAGCUGCGAAAGCUAGGGGAGCAAACAGGAUUAGAUACCCCCGUAGUCC
Molecule: ribosomal RNA, 444 nt
Filed under: uncultured bacterium
Lineage: Bacteria
Description: bacterial SSU rRNA
Rfam family: Bacterial small subunit ribosomal RNA
Source: RNAcentral